RNAcentral lists this ribosomal RNA (834 nucleotides) under Triticum aestivum (bread wheat). Its description in RNAcentral is "partial small subunit ribosomal RNA". Lineage: Eukaryota; Viridiplantae; Streptophyta; Magnoliopsida; Poales; Poaceae. The record is from RNAcentral.
AUGGUACAUUCUGCAACUGCUAUGUUCCAGAUUUUCUCGCUGAAAUUGGAAAAAGCUAGUACCAGCAUCGGCUUGGUACAACUAUAUGGAUAUAUAGCAGUGCGUGAUCGUUAUGAUUCAUUGCUUAAUUAUAUUUUCAAUCGUAGCAGAGAUGAUCCCAUCAUUGUGGAACAGGGUUCUCUUAUUGAGAUGACUGACCCUAAGAGAGGCAUCACAAUGGUAGCCCCUGCUCUAGUUGAGUUUGACAUGAGGAUCAAGAAAGGAAAGCAAGAAGAUGAUCUACAACUAAUUGAUGGUGCAAUGGAGUACCAUGAUCUAGUCACACCUGAGUAUCCAUUCACGCAUCAGAUUAAUGGCGAUUGUGGUGCGGUUGACAUCACUUUAGCCCUCGUUCGUUGGGCAUUUGAGGCCACAAUAGAUGUUGUCAUAUCGAAAGUGCAGUGUGGAUUUGAUUUAUCUCUCAGUUCGUGUGUUUUCCUUAUGAAUGGUUUACAUGGGAUUCAACUCUUUCGUGGCAGUGUUGUUGAGUCAUGUGGUUUAAGAAGAUAUGUGAUUGCUGUAAAGAAGGAUACUUUGAUGUAUUUGAAGUUCAAGCUAGGCCGGAAUAGUUGUAAAAAUGAUCUUGAUCACCAUUGUUCCUUCAAAGCAAAAAAGCAUGGGCACGACUAUCAGCAAAUCAUGCUUGAGCUUGCCUCUAUCUCAGUGAAGGUGACUUGGUCGAACUUGCAAAGGAAUAGAAGAUGGCAUGUGGAUGGGGGUGAUCUGCAGGCGACACGCGCACAGGAGAUACGUAUAGAAGGGCCUUGUGUCGUCGCACGAGUCGCGUGUUGUAUU